AACGAACGCUGGCGGCAUGCCUAACACAUGCGAGUCGAACGAGACCUUCGGGCCUGGUGGCGCACGGGUGCGUAACGCGGGGGAACCUGCCCUUAGGUUCGGAAUAACUCCCCGAAAGGGGUGCUAAUACCGGCUAAUGUCUUCGGACCAAAGAUUUAUCGCCUUUGGAUGGGCCCGCGUUGGAUUAGCUAGUUGGUAGGGUAAAAGCCUACCAAGGCGACGAUCCAUAGCUGGUCUGAGAGGAUGAUCAGCCACACUGGGACUGAGACACGGCCCAGACUCCUACGGGAGGCAGCAGUGGGGAAUAUUGGAAAGUGGGCGAAAGCCUGAUCCAGCAAGGCCGGGUGAGUGAUGAAGGCCUUAGGGUUGUAAAGCUCUUUUACCCGGGAUGAUAAUGACAGUACCGGGAGAAUAAGCACCGGCUAACUCCGUG
RNAcentral lists this ribosomal RNA (433 nucleotides) under uncultured bacterium. RNAcentral's name for it is "partial 16S ribosomal RNA". It matches the Rfam family "Bacterial small subunit ribosomal RNA", at positions 29 to 507 of the family's 1533-position model. The record is from RNAcentral.